UUUAUGGAGAGUUUGAUCCUGGCUCAGGAUGAACGCUGGCGGCGUGCCUAAUACAUGCAAGUCGAGCGAACAGAUGAGAAGCUUGCUUCUCUGAUGUUAGCGGCGGACGGGUGAGUAACACGUGGGUAACCUACCUAUAAGACUGGGAUAACUCCGGGAAACCGGGGCUAAUACCGGAUAAUAUAUUGAACCGCAUGGUUCAAUGUUGAAAGACGGUUUCGGCUGUCACUUAUAGAUGGACCCGCGCCGUAUUAGCUAGUUGGUAAGGUAACGGCUUACCAAGGCAACGAUACGUAGCCGACCUGAGAGGGUGAUCGGCCACACUGGAACUGAGACACGGUCCAGACUCCUACGGGAGGCAGCAGUAGGGAAUCUUCCGCAAUGGGCGAAAGCCUGACGGAGCAACGCCGCGUGAGUGAUGAAGGUCUUAGGAUCGUAAAAC
This 442-nucleotide ribosomal RNA is filed under the name Dysgonomonas mossii. Its description in RNAcentral is "bacterial SSU rRNA". It matches the Rfam family "Bacterial small subunit ribosomal RNA", at positions 1 to 431 of the family's 1533-position model. The record is from RNAcentral. Lineage: Bacteria; Pseudomonadati; Bacteroidota; Bacteroidia; Bacteroidales; Dysgonomonadaceae.